RNAcentral lists this ribosomal RNA (474 nucleotides) under uncultured bacterium. RNAcentral's name for it is "bacterial SSU rRNA". It matches the Rfam family "Bacterial small subunit ribosomal RNA", at positions 791 to 1257 of the family's 1533-position model. The record is from RNAcentral.
UAGUCCACGCCGUAAACGAUGUGCACUAGAUUGAUGCCGGUCUGACCCGGUGUCGAUCGUAGAGAAAUUAUUAAGUGCACCGCCUGGGGAGUACGGUCGCAAGGCUAAAACUCAAAGGAAUUGACGGGGGCUCACACAAGCGGUGGAGCAUGUUGCUUAAUUCGAAGCAACGCGAAGAACCUUACCAGGGUUUGACAUGCACGGAUUACCUCUAUGAAAGUAGAGCGACGCUCGCAAGAGUGGAACGUGCACAGGUGCUGCAUGGCUGUCGUCAGCUCGUGCUGUGAAGUGUCGGGUUAAGUCCCUUAACGAGCGCAACCCUUGUCGCUAGUUGCCAGCAAGUAAUGUUGGGGACUCUAGCGAGACUGCCGGUGUCAAACCGGAGGAAGGUGGGGAUGACGUCAAGUCAGCAUGGCCCUUAUGUCCUGGGAUGCAAACGUGCUACAAUGGCCUGUACAGAGCGAUGCGAUAUCG